UGGCUACUACAUUGAAACUUGUAAAUAUACAAAGAGCCUUUGUUGCUAAGACCCAUUAAGUGCUCGCAACAGUUUGCAAGUUUCUUUAAGUGAGGUGUAAAUCAAGCCCUGUAUUAAAAUAGGCGUGGGCAGAACUGCAGUGUUCUAUGCAUUAAUCUCUUUUGUUUUUUCCAUAGCUAAGAAGUACAGUGCCUUUCUGGUUUCAGAGUCCCUCCCUUCAGAGUCCUGAUCAGAUCCUCUCACCUUGGGUCAGGGUCUGAACAAAGCUGCGAAGUUCCCCUCCCUCUUCGCUCACAAUGAAAACAUGGUGGCCAAGGUCAAUUAAAUCCAGUCUAUCAUCAAAUUUCAAAUGAAAAAGGUGCUUUGUCUGGCGGUGGCCGUUGGCCAUGUAAAAAUGACUGAAGAUGAGCUAGUCUACAACUUUCACCUGGCCAUCGACUUCCUGGUGUUCUUGCUGAACUGUCAGAAUGUGCAUGUUGUACAUCAAGAGCACCAUGGGGAAACCACAGCACCUCUACUAAACUGGCAGUAAUAAAUGUUUCAGAGCA
This is a long non-coding RNA of Chelonoidis abingdonii (Abingdon island giant tortoise), 548 nucleotides long. RefSeq lists it as uncharacterized. NCBI's taxonomy places the organism in Eukaryota, Metazoa, Chordata, Testudines, Testudinidae. The record is from RefSeq and is a predicted model, not a curated record.